Non-coding RNA from Hydra vulgaris (swiftwater hydra), 1782 nucleotides. NCBI's taxonomy places the organism in Eukaryota, Metazoa, Cnidaria, Hydrozoa, Anthoathecata, Hydridae. The record is from RefSeq and is a predicted model, not a curated record.
AUUUCAUUUUAAUCAAAAGAAAGCUGAGAGGAAUGUGAAAGAAAGCCGACGCUACAUUAUACACGAUUUUUGCAUCUUUUUAAAAAUGGCGACUUCGGUGGGGAAUGUUAUUCGCGCUUCAAUAAUUCAAAAACUCACGGAAGCGUUAAAGCCAUCACACUUAGAUGUUAUUAAUGAAAGCUUCAUGCAUAAUGUUCCAAAAGGCGCUGAAACUCAUUUUAAAGUUGUUGUGGUAUCUAAGGAAUUUGAUGGAAAGCCCUUAAUUCAGAGGCAUCGUCUUAUUAAUGAUUUGCUUAAACAAGAACUUUUAGCUGGAGUUCAUGCUUUGUCAAUUCAGGCAAAAACACCUGAACAAUGGGCACAAAACUGCAAUGUAUCGCUAUCCCCUCCUUGUUUAGGUGGAAGUAAAAAAUAAAAGAAUCUUCAAAUUUGAUAAAGGUUUACGUCAGUUUUUUUUGUUUAUUUGGAAUUUAUGGAGUAGUUUUUUCAUAUUCAUAUAAUAUCUUGUGGAAUAAAGAGAUUUAGUAUUUAAAAUAUCUUUUAGAAAGAAUAGAUUUAGUAACAAAAAAGAAAAUAUAGAGGUUGUAAAUUUUUUUUUUUUUAUUGUGUCUAUUUGUUUUUUAUGUAUUUUUUUAUGGCAUUUCAUUUUUUUUAAUGGCGAACCUAUAACUGCGUCUGAUAAGUCUUUUGAUAGCUUAGUGAAAGUCUUUUGAUAGAUUAGUCGAAGUCUUUAACGGUAUUUUUAUAUAUCCAUCGCAUUAAGCUCUCUCAUUAAUAUUGUUAACGACCUUACAAUAUGAAUUUUUUAAACAGUAAAUUUUCAAAUUAACGAUAAAUUUUUUUUUUAAUAUUUGUUAAGUAAAUGUAUAUUUAGUAUAAAUAUAUAUGUGUGUCACAGACUGCUACGUUUAAUAUGUCAUAUUUUAUAGCUUUUUCUAGUUAGUUGAUUUUUUAAGUAUUUCUAAUAGGUUGAUUUUUUAAGUACACAAAAAAAGAUUUUUCUAAGAGUACGUAAAUUCUAGUUAAAGCUCAAAAUUCAUGAUGAAUGAAUGCUUAAAAUUUAUUCAUGAUGAAUGAAUGCUCAAUAAAGUAUAGUUUAUUAACUUAUAAAUUUAUGAUAUAAACUGUAUGGGGUCUUCCAUAAACUACGUACGCAUGUAAUGUGAGAGGGAGAACUAUCAAUAAACGUAAGAAUGCGUACAAAGGGGAGAGGGUGUUAAUGACAGAGUACGUAAGCAGUUUGACUCUUGUUCUCAAUCUCUCCUAAAACUUCGUUCUUUUUUUAACACAAGCGUUAUGUAACAAAGAAAUGUCCUAUUAACUAAAAGUUUUAUUGUUUUUAAUGUUUUGGAAAAAUGUUAGCGUAUAGAAAGGAGGUUAUUAGUAAUAAUUACUGCGUACGUAUGCAGAUGGAGAGGGACCGUAGAAAGACAACGUUUCGUUCGAUUCUGUCAAGGAGGGAGGGGAUCUUAAAUCUGUAGUUUUACUGCAAAGAGAUGAAAAAUCAAUGAUCAAACCAUUUGCUAAAGGCUUUAUUAAAUAAGCAAUAUUUUAAGGAUAUUUCCACUGAAAAGAAACAGUCUAACUUGCUCAAAUUUGUUAGCUGAACAUCACGUUCACAAAGAGGCAAUCGAACUUGUUUGCCAUUGGAUUUGGAGUUGAAGAUAAAAUUUUUUAUAUUGUUCACUUUUAUCUAUUGUAACUAUCAAUUCAUUGACAUUUUUUUAAUCUUAGCUACGCGUUUACUAUGAGUAAUUUAAUAAAUUUUAGCGGUAUUAUAAA